CGCAGCCGCGGUAAUUCCAGCUCCAAUAGCGUAUAUUAAAGUUGUUGCAGUUAAAAGCUCGUAGUUGAAUUUCGGGACCAAUUUGUUGGUCGUGCCUCGGUACGUACUGGUAUUAUUGGUUUCUCCCUUCUGAAGAACCUCGAUGCCAUUAAUUUGGUGUCGUGGGGAAUCAGGACUGUUACUUUGAAAAAAUUAGAGUGUUUAAAGCAAGCAUACGCUUGAAUACAUUAGCAUGGAAUAAUGAAAUAGGACGUUUGAUUCUAUUUUGUUGGUUUCUAGGAUCGACGUAAUGAUUAAUAGGGAUAGUUGGGGGCAUUAGUAUUCAAUUGUCAGAGGUGAAAUUCUUGGAUUUAUUGAAGACUAACUACUGCGAAAGCAUUUGCCAAGGAUGUUUUCAUUAAUCAAGAACGAAAGUUAGGGGAUCGAAGACGAUCAGAUACCGUCGUAGUCUUAACCAUAAACUAUGCCGACUAGGGAUCGGAUGAUGUUAAUUUUUUAAUGACUCAUUCGGCGCCUUACGG
RNAcentral lists this ribosomal RNA (521 nucleotides) under uncultured Glomus. RNAcentral describes it as "SSU rRNA". It matches the Rfam family "Eukaryotic small subunit ribosomal RNA", at positions 569 to 1093 of the family's 1831-position model. The record is from RNAcentral. Lineage: Eukaryota; Fungi; Glomeromycota; Glomeromycetes; Glomerales; Glomeraceae.